Molecule: ribosomal RNA, 447 nt
Filed under: uncultured bacterium
Lineage: Bacteria
Description: bacterial SSU rRNA
Rfam family: Bacterial small subunit ribosomal RNA
Source: RNAcentral
UAGGGAAUUUUGUGCAAUGGGCGAAAGCCUGACACAGCAACGCCGCGUGAAGGAUGAAGUAUUUCGGUAUGUAAACUUCGUAAGAAUAGGAAGAAUAAAUGACGGUACUAUUUGUAAGGUCCGGCUAACUACGUGCCAGCAGCCGCGGUAAUACGUAGGGACCAAGCGUUGUUCGGAUUUACUGGGCGUAAAGGGCGCGUAGGCGGCAAUUCAAGUCAUCUGUGAAAUCUCCGGGCUUAACUCGGAACGGUCAGAUGAUACUGCUUUGCUAGAGUGCAGAAGGGGCAAUCGGAAUUCUUGGUGUAGCGGUGAAAUGCGUAGAUAUCAAGAGGAACACCUGAGGUGAAGACGGGUUGCUGGGCUGACACUGACGCUGAGGCGCGAAAGCCAGGGGAGCAAACGGGAUUAGAUACCCACGUAGUCCCUGAGCGGGCUGGCAAGGCGCAU